This 391-nucleotide ribosomal RNA is filed under the name Chrysophyceae sp. RNAcentral's name for it is "partial small subunit ribosomal RNA". It matches the Rfam family "Eukaryotic small subunit ribosomal RNA", at positions 582 to 975 of the family's 1831-position model. The record is from RNAcentral. Lineage: Eukaryota; Chrysophyceae.
AUUCCAGCUCCAAUAGCGUAUACUAAAGUUGUUGCAGUUAAAAAGCUCGUAGUUGAAUUUCUGGUCUCGGACAGCGGUCUGCCUCAAACGAGGUACGCACCACCUGUUCAGGUCCAUCCUCGGAGAAAACAUGCCUGUGAUUCAGUUCAUGGGUACGGGAUCUUCGUCAUUUACUGUGAGCAAAAUAGAGUGUUCAAAGCAGGCUUAUGCCGUUGAAUACAUUAGCAUGGAAUAAUAAAAUAAGACCUUGGUCUAUUUUGUUGGUUUGUACUCCAAGGUAAUGAUUAAUGGGGAUAGUUGGGGGUAUUCGUAUUCAAUUGUCAGAGGUGAAAUUCUUGGAUUUAUGGAAGACGAACUACUGCGAAAGCAUUUACCAAGGAUGUUUUCAUUA